CCUACGGGCGGCAGCAGUGAGGAAUAUUGGUCAAUGGGCUUACGCCUGAACCAGCCAAGUCGCGUGAGGGAAGACUGCCCUAUGGGUUGUAAACCUCUUUUGUCAGGGAGCAACGCCGGCUACGUGUAGCCGGACUGAGAGUACCUGAAGAAAAAGCAUCGGCUAACUCCGUGCCAGCAGCCGCGGUAAUACGGAGGAUGCGAGCGUUAUCCGGAUUUAUUGGGUUUAAAGGGUGCGUAGGCGGAAUGCCAAGUCAGCGGUAAAAGCGCGGGGCUCAACCUCGCUCCGCCGUUGAAACUGGCGUUCUUGAGUGGGCGAGAAGUAUGCGGAAUGCGUGGUGUAGCGGUGAAAUGCAUAGAUAUCACGCAGAACUCCGAUUGCGAAGGCAGCAUACCGGCGCUCAACUGACGCUCAUGCACGAAAGUGUGGGUAUCGAACAGGAUUAGAUACCCCAGUAGUC
Molecule: ribosomal RNA, 460 nt
Filed under: uncultured bacterium
Lineage: Bacteria
Description: partial 16S ribosomal RNA
Rfam family: Bacterial small subunit ribosomal RNA
Source: RNAcentral